UCUGUGGGCGCCUCGCUCAAUGACUUGGAUACUAUUGGGGAUGCUGUUCUGUCUCUGAACCUCACUGGCGUUUCCUCUGCUCCAUAUGGAAUCUUGUCAAGUCUGGAAAACAACUAAAUAUUUCCAGAGGUAUUUAUUAAAAGAAAAUGCUAAGAAGAUUCAGGCAGAAAUUCAGCUUGAAGGUGUUGCAGAACAAACAGAAAACCUGCAAAAGGAGCUCUCUAGAGUCUUAGCAAGCUGUCAGCAGGUGAAUAAAGCAACGACCGACAAGAACUGUCAAUGGGACUCGAGCCCUGGCCACGUUCAUUGAGCAGCUGCAUGCCAACAUCAAAGACAUCAUGGAAAAGGUGGCAGCGUUGAAUGAGACCGCACGUGGGGACGUCCAGCCAUCCAUUUCUGCUCUUCAGAGCAUGCACCAGAACAUUUCUUCUCUGCUGGAACUUACAAAGAAAAGGAAUUUCACAAAGUGGCACCAAAAUGCUACCCUUGAACUCAAGGCUGCUAAAGAGUUAUUGUCAUGAAUUCAGAAGAGGUUCCAGAAGCCCCAGGAAAAGCUGAAGGCAUUGAAGGAGGCAGCCAGUGGCCUCCUUUCAAACCACAGCGAAGAACUGCAGGCGGCAGAGGAGCUCCUGACAGAAACUGAGACCAAG
Molecule: long non-coding RNA, 650 nt
Organism: Microtus oregoni (creeping vole)
Lineage: Eukaryota; Metazoa; Chordata; Mammalia; Rodentia; Cricetidae
Exons: 5
Source: RefSeq, a predicted model, not a curated record